RNA transcript from Camelina sativa (false flax), 441 nucleotides. RefSeq lists it as uncharacterized. The record is from RefSeq and is a predicted model, not a curated record. NCBI's taxonomy places the organism in Eukaryota, Viridiplantae, Streptophyta, Magnoliopsida, Brassicales, Brassicaceae.
AAGCUACAAAUGAAGGGAAAUCUGUGGUUAAUUGCUUUGUUUUUAGCUCUCUAUUUGGUGAUUUCAUCUUAUGCAGCUUCAACUCAAACAUACCAAAUCCGCAAACUUUUGGGUAUAAUAGAUUCACGGCCUAGUUCGUCUAGACCGGCAGGCCAGUGUUGUUAGCUAGGCAAAGGCGGCGGGAGAAGGGAGCAUGAUGCUCUCAUGAGAGCUGCCGUUCGUAGUGUAUAUAGACUUUAAUUGGACUGGUAGGAUCAGACCCAUGGACCAUGGUCACUAUAAACCUCCCAAAAGGUAUCAUGCCACACCAUAUAAUUUGCCCGCUCAUCCAAUUGGUUCAUGACACUUGCAGGUUGCAAGGCUAUAUCUAACAUACAACAUAUAUGGAGGAAAAGAUACAGCAAUUCAAGGAACUGAACCAUAUUUAAAAACUGNAAAAAA